RNAcentral lists this ribosomal RNA (511 nucleotides) under uncultured bacterium. RNAcentral describes it as "partial 16S ribosomal RNA". It matches the Rfam family "Bacterial small subunit ribosomal RNA", at positions 28 to 523 of the family's 1533-position model. The record is from RNAcentral.
GACGAACGCUGGCGGCGUGCCUAAUACAUGCAAGUCGAGCGAAUCAAUGGGAGCUUGCUCCCUGAGAUUAGCGGCGGACGGGUGAGUAACACGUGGGUAACCUGCCUGUAAGACUGGGAUAACUUCGGGAAACCGGAGCUAAUACCGGAUACGUUCUUUUUUCGCAUGAGGAGAGAUGGAAAGAUGGUUCUGCUAUCACUUACAGAUGGACCCGCGGCGCAUUAGCUAGUUGGUGAGGUAACGGCUCACCAAGGCGACGAUGCGUAGCCGACCUGAGAGGGGGAUCGGCCACACUGGGACUGAGACACGGCCCAGACUCCUACGGGAGGCAGCAGUAGGGAAUCUUCCGCAAUGGACGAAAGUCUGACGGAGCAACGCCGCGUGAGCGAAGAAGGCCUUCGGGUCGUAAAGCUCUGUUGUUAGGGAAGAACAAGUACGAGAGUAACUGCUCGUACCUUGACGGUACCUAACCAGAAAGCCACGGCUAACUACGUGCCAGCCGCCGCUGUAA